AUUGAACGCUGGCGGAAUGCUUUACACAUGCAAGUCGAACGGUAGAGGGGGCAACCCCUCGAGAGUGGCGAACGGGUGAGUAAUAUAUCGGAACGUGCCCAGUCGUGGGGAUAACGUAGCGAAAGCUACGCUAAUACCGCAUACGAUCUAAGGAUGAAAGCGGGGGACUCGCAAGAGCCUCGCGCGAUUGGAGCGGCCGAUAUCAGAUUAGGUAGUUGGCGGGGUAAAGGCGUCACCAAGCCAACGAUCUGUAGCUGGUCUGAGAGGACGACCAGCCACACUGGAACUGAGACACGGUCCAGACUCCUACGGAGGCAGCAGUGGGGAAUUUUGGACAAUGGGCGCAAGCCUGAUCCAGCAAUGCCGCGUGCAGGAUGAAGG
RNAcentral lists this ribosomal RNA (381 nucleotides) under uncultured bacterium. RNAcentral describes it as "bacterial SSU rRNA". It matches the Rfam family "Bacterial small subunit ribosomal RNA", at positions 30 to 414 of the family's 1533-position model. The record is from RNAcentral.